RNAcentral lists this non-coding RNA (66 nucleotides) under unclassified sequences. The record is from RNAcentral.
GCUGCCUUACAGGAACAGCCUCCACGCGGCAGGCAGCGGGCAACGCAAACGCGGCCAAUCGUUCCA